UGCAGCAGGCGCGAAAACUUUACAAUGCGGGAAACCGUGAUAAGGGGACACCGUGUGCCAGCAUCAUAUGCUGGCUGUCCAGGUGUGUAAAAUACACCUGUCAGUAAGGGCCGGGCAAGACCGGUGCCAGCCGCCGCGGUAACACCGGCGGCCCGAGUGGUGAUCGUGAUUAUUGGGUCUAAAGGGUCCGUAGCCGGUUUGGUCAGUCCUCCGGGAAAUCUGACGGCUCAACCGUUAGGCUUUCGGGGGAUACUGCCAGGCUUGGAACCGGGAGAGGUAAGAGGUACUACAGGGGUAGGAGUGAAAUCUUGUAAUCCCUGUGAGACCACCUGUGGCGAAGGCGUCUUACCAGAACGGGUUCGACGGUGAGGGACGAAAGCUGGGGGCACGAACCGGAUUAGAUACCCGGGUAGUCCCAGCCGUAAACGAUGCUCGCUAGGUGUCAGGCAUGGCGCGACCGUGUCUGGUGCCGCAGGGAAGCCGUGAAGCGAGCCACCUGGGAAGUACGGCCGCAAGGCUGAAACUUAAAGGAAUUGGCGGGGGAGCAC
Molecule: ribosomal RNA, 548 nt
Filed under: uncultured archaeon
Lineage: Archaea
Description: bacterial SSU rRNA
Rfam family: Archaeal small subunit ribosomal RNA
Source: RNAcentral